AAUGUUUUCAACAUGCGGACAUGAAUAUCCCUUUUUCCACAAAGGUUUGUUCACGAUGGACAGAAGUGCAAUAAACCUUUUAACUAGGGUCACGAUCAUCUUAUUAACCACCCUCACAAACAGCAGUGCUGAAAAUAUAACACAAACUCCAAACAUCACUUAUGACCCUUGCAAUGUCGCCAAUGUUCUUGACAAUGAGUGGAGAAAACCAGACAGCUUGUUUUUUAC
Long non-coding RNA from Pygocentrus nattereri (red-bellied piranha), 228 nucleotides. RefSeq lists it as uncharacterized. The record is from RefSeq and is a predicted model, not a curated record. The transcript has 3 exons. NCBI's taxonomy places the organism in Eukaryota, Metazoa, Chordata, Actinopteri, Characiformes, Serrasalmidae.